Molecule: ribosomal RNA, 468 nt
Filed under: uncultured bacterium
Lineage: Bacteria
Description: partial 16S ribosomal RNA
Rfam family: Bacterial small subunit ribosomal RNA
Source: RNAcentral
GACGAACGCUGGCGGCGUGCUUAACACAUGCAAGUCGAACGGAAAGGCCCUGCUGCUGUGUUGUGCUCGAGUGGCGAACGGGUGAGUAACACGUGAGUAACCUGCCCUUGACUUUGGGAUAACUUCAGGUAACAGGGGCUAAUACCGGCUAGUAGCUCCUGCUGCAUGGUGGGGGUGGGAAAGUUUCGGCGGUUGGGGCUGGACUCGCGGCUAAUCAGCUUGUUGGUGGGGGAGUGGGUGACCAAGGCUUUGACGGGUAGCCGGCAUGUGAGGGGGGCCGGGCACAAUGGGACUGAGGGAGGGAGCAGACGCCUACGGGGGGCAACAGGGGGGAGCCUGGCGCAACGGGGGGGCGUGUAAGGCGACGGCGCCGGGGGCGGAAAGAAGGUCUUGGGGUUAGAAAGCGCGUUAGGCUGAGACGAAGCGUGAGUGACGGUAAUGGGUGAAGAAGCACCGGCUAACUACGUG